AGUGUGAGAAUUUUCUUUAUAUUACAUUGUGGGGGACCAAAUGUGCCCCACAAUAUAAUAAAAACCUGUUAUUUUGACAUUGUGGGGACCAUUUUUCAGGUCCUCACAAAGAUCUGAUUUCUUGCUCUUUUAAACGAAUCAGUUCCCUCAUCCCUGCAUUUAAUGUUAGAGAAGCACACUGCUGGAUCUCCGUCUCUGUAUUUUUGAUGCAUUGCGCAGAAAUAUUUUUUGAUUUGCUCGCGAACAUGCGAUGGCAACUUACUGCCGUUGAAUGACAGUUUGAGAGGAUGCAUAAGCGCUGAGGUGCAGGGGUGCCUGGUGUCCACGGGCAUCCAGGCCUCCAGCAGGAUAAGUGUGACCAUGCUUGUUCCUGUUUACAGAACACUCGGUAACUCUCCAGGUCCGUGGGUCUGCCGUCAUUCAUGAAGAGCCAGACCAAAUACUACGGCUGGUCCCUCUGCUGGAAUGACCUUGAAACAUGGACCACAGAGUGUGUGCCCUGCGAUGGACUGGUAUUCUGUCUGGAUAAGCAUUUCCCAACCCGGAUCCCGGAAAGACCCAGGCUCACUGUGACCCUUCAGCUAGGAUAAGCAGUAUCCCAGAUGUGUCAGGAGAAGCACCUUGCUGUGGAAAUCAAGAACAGCUCACAUCCUUCUAGAAUGUGAAUCAAGAACCUUCAGUCCCAAUGAUUAAUUAAAAGUUCUUCUGCUGUGAUUUGGUCACUAAACCUCUGGCUUAAGCCAUACAUCGAAAAUGAUCUUCAUGCCCACAUACUUCAUCUGUUACACCCAGAAAUUUAACUUGUCUUCCAUCUAUAGCGUUUUGGGGCAAUAAUAUUUAAGUGUGAAUAGUUUAAACAGGAGGUUAUUAUUCUGUACUUUAUGAUAUACUUACCUAACAUCUCUAAUCCCAUAUCAUAUGCAACUUCCAUCAUUCUGACAUUUCAGAUAUUGAGGACUGCAGAAACACGUGUGUGUAAAACACCUUUAUCUUGCAGAUGUAGUUUACACAGCUCUGACCAGAACUGUGGCCUUCGGUUUUAGAGACUGUGCUUGGCAACUUUUAAUUUGAAAACUUGAAAGAUGUAAAGCUUUCAGGGCAGUUGGUGAGUGUGAUGUGUGACGCCGUCACAAAGUUGUGAAUCUCUCAGAGCUUCCCUCGAAAAAACAUGCCUCGCCAGAAGGAUUCAAUACCCCCAAUAAAAGGUAGGUGGACAGAGAGGUUAAAAUGGUUAUUACAAUGAUGAUGUCGCCAGUUUUUAUGCUUCUCUUCCAUAUUUCGAUUUUGCUGAUGCACCGAGUCCCAUUUUUCAGAUUAUAUAAAUAUAAACU
This is a long non-coding RNA of Brienomyrus brachyistius, 1331 nucleotides long. RefSeq lists it as uncharacterized. The transcript is spliced from 3 exons. Lineage: Eukaryota; Metazoa; Chordata; Actinopteri; Osteoglossiformes; Mormyridae. The record is from RefSeq and is a predicted model, not a curated record.